This 776-nucleotide ribosomal RNA is filed under the name uncultured bacterium. Its description in RNAcentral is "bacterial SSU rRNA". It matches the Rfam family "Bacterial small subunit ribosomal RNA", at positions 1 to 812 of the family's 1533-position model. The record is from RNAcentral.
CCGCGGGAAUUCGAUUAGUUUGAUCCUGGCUCAGGAUGAACGCUGGCGGUAUGCUUAACACAUGCAAGUCGAACGGAAUCCUUAGGGAUUUAGUGGCGGACGGGUGAGUAACGCGUGGGAAUCUGCCUUCAGGUCUGGGACAACCACUGGAAACGGUGGCUAAAACCGGAUGUGCAGCAAUGUGAAAUAUUUAUAGCCUGGAGAUGAGCUCGCGUCUGAUUAGCUAGUAGGUGUGGUAAGAGCGCACCUAGGCGACGAUCAGUAGCUGGUCUGAGAGGAUGAUCAGCCACACUGGGACUGAGACACGGCCCAGACUCCUACGGGAGGCAGCAGUGGGGAAUUUUCCGCAAUGGGCGAAAGCCUGACGGAGCAAUACCGCGUGAGGGAGGAAGGCUCUUGGGUUGUAAACCUCUUUUCUCAGGGAAGAACACAAUGACGGUACCUGAGGAAUAAGCAUCGGCUAACUCCGUGCCAGCAGCCGCGGUAAUACGGAGGAUGCAAGCGUUAUCCGGAAUGAUUGGGCGUAAAGCGUCCGCAGGUGGCUAUGUAAGUCUGCUGUUAAAUAGUGAGGCUCAACCUCAUAAAGGCAGUGGAAACUACAUGGCUAGAGUGCGUUCGGGGCAGAGGGAAUUCCUGGUGUAGCGGUGAAGUGCGUAGAGAUCAGGAAGAACACCGGUGGCGAAAGCGCUCUGCUAGGCCGCAACUGACACUGAGGGACGAAAGCUAGGGGAGCGAAUGGGAUUAGAUACCCCAGUAGUCCUAGCCGUAAACGAUGG